This 216-nucleotide ribosomal RNA is filed under the name Glomeromycotina sp. RNAcentral's name for it is "partial small subunit ribosomal RNA". The stretch from base 40 to 216 matches the Rfam family "Eukaryotic small subunit ribosomal RNA", at positions 686 to 864 of the family's 1831-position model. Lineage: Eukaryota; Fungi; Glomeromycota. The record is from RNAcentral.
GGGUCAGUAGGUUGGUCGUGCCACCGGUACGUACUGGUCUCACUGAUUCCUCCUUCCUGAAGAACCGUAAUGCCAUUAAUUUGGUGUUGCGGGGAAACAGGACUGUUACUUUGAAAAAAUUAGAGUGAUUUAAGCAAGCUAACGCUUGAAUACAUUAGCAUGGAAUAAUGAAAUAGGACGAUCGAUCCUAUUUUGUUGGUUUCUAGGAUUGACGUA